AUUUGCAGCCGGAUUCUUCGAGUCAGGUGGAGUCAUUUUCUUUUCGGGCAUCAGCUGCGAACUAGCAUGAUUGCCCAUUGGUGGCAUUCCUAGGGUGUUCAUUUCUGCAAAAAAAGCUCCUGCUAGAGCAAUAGUAUUAUAUAUUUGGUUAGUAAGCAGUUGAUGUAUAGCAGUUAAAUACACAUAAAGCAACAUUAAAGCAUUAGUAAAGAUAAAGGAUUAUUCCACAUAAAAUUCGAGAAAUCAUAUCCAAUAAUGAAGAUUAUGCUUGAAAUAUAAAGAAUAAGUGCGAUUGAACGCAAGAAAAGACCAGAAAGCAAGAAGAGGGAAGAUAUAUAAGGAAGAUAAGCCCAACAAAUACUGGCGCAGCCUAAAUGCAAAUUUGGAAAAAGGAAUGCUAAGAUAAAUGCGCAGAAAUAUUGCACGAACCAUCCAUAGGCUUUUGCGUCAGUUGAGGUUGAGAGAUGGGCAAAGGUUUUUCGUCCUUCUUUAUGGAAAUCUGGGAAAUCUGCAUUGGCAUAGAUAUAGGAAGAGGAUCGAAUAUCGAACUCAUGCCUCCCAUAUUCAUUCCCAUGUUCAAUCCCGGAAUGCCGUUGUUAUUCAGCAUGUUGGGCGGUGAAUUCCCGCGCUUUGUAUUUGGAAACCCAUUGGAGUGCUGUUGCGACAUCGUAACGUUAUGGGAGUUUUGAAUAUUUGAUUAGAAGCCAUACUCGUCGGCAUCAUAUUUACCGGUUUUACAUCCGGUAUUAAAUUUAAAUUGGCAUUAGCAUUAGUAUUAUUGGUCGUAUGAGAUGUCUGGAUGAAUGGAGGAUCCUUCUUAAUCGCAAGUGUUUGAUCCAAAGAAGGCUGCUGUGUUUGUAUAAAUGGAGGAUCCUUCUUGAUCGCGAGCGUCUGCUCCAAAGAGGAUUGUGUGAUUGUACGAUUGGGAAAGGACAAAGGACUGUUUACUUCUAUAAAUACCUGAUAAAGUAUUAUAUGGCUGUAAAAGAUCAGACUGUUGGUUUAAAUUUGUUCCGUCUGUGGGUACGGGUGUAUUUGCAUUCGGAAAGGAACUAAUGGUCGUCGGUGGCUGCUGCG
Camponotus floridanus (Florida carpenter ant) is the source of this 1077-nucleotide long non-coding RNA. RefSeq lists it as uncharacterized. Lineage: Eukaryota; Metazoa; Arthropoda; Insecta; Hymenoptera; Formicidae. The transcript has 4 exons. The record is from RefSeq and is a predicted model, not a curated record.